AGUGAACGCUGGCGGUAGGCCUAACACAUGCAAGUCGAACGGCAGCACAGUAAGAGCUUGCUCUUACGGGUGGCGAGUGGCGGACGGGUGAGGAAUACAUCGGAAUCUACUUUUUCGUGGGGGAUAACGUAGGGAAACUUACGCUAAUACCGCAUACGACCUACGGGUGAAAGCAGGGGAUCUUCGGACCUUGCGCGAUUGAAUGAGCCGAUGUCGGAUUAGCUAGUUGGCGGGGUAAAGGCCCACCAAGGCGACGAUCCGUAGCUGGUCUGAGAGGAUGAUCAGCCACACUGGAACUGAGACACGGUCCAGACUCCUACGGGAGGCAGCAGUGGGGAAUAUUGGACAAUGGGCGCAAGCCUGAUCCAGCCAUACCGCGUGGGUGAAGAAGGCCUUCGGGUUGUAAAGCCCUUUUGUUGGGAAAGAAAAGCAGCAGGUUAAUACCCCGCUGUUCUGACGGUACCCAAAGAAUAAGCACCGGCGAACUUCG
RNAcentral lists this ribosomal RNA (490 nucleotides) under uncultured bacterium. RNAcentral's name for it is "partial 16S ribosomal RNA". It matches the Rfam family "Bacterial small subunit ribosomal RNA", at positions 29 to 505 of the family's 1533-position model. The record is from RNAcentral.